This 460-nucleotide ribosomal RNA is filed under the name uncultured bacterium. RNAcentral describes it as "partial 16S ribosomal RNA". It matches the Rfam family "Bacterial small subunit ribosomal RNA", at positions 338 to 795 of the family's 1533-position model. The record is from RNAcentral.
CCUACGGGAGGCAGCAGUGAGGAAUAUUGGUCAAUGGCCGGAAGGCUGAACCAGCCAUGCCGCGUGAAGGUCAGUGCCCUAUGGGCGUUAAACUUCUUUUGUGCGGGAGCAAUAAUGGUCACGUGUGGCCAGACGAGAGUACCGUACGAAUAAGCAUCGGCUAACUCCGUGCCAGCAGCCGCGGGAAUACGGGGGAUGGAAGCGUUAUCCGGAUUUAUGUGGUUGAAAGGGUGCGUAGGCUGGGAGGUAAGUCAGCGGGGAAAUGCCCCCGCUCAACGGGGUGAAGUGCCAUUGAUACUGCCUUGCUGGAGUGCGGAUGCGGUGGGAGGAAUGUGUGGUGUAGCGGUGAAAUGCAUAGAUAUCACACAGAACACCGAUUGCGAAGGCAUCUCACGAAUCCGCGAUUGACGCUGAUGCACGAAAGCGUGGGUAUCAAACAGGAUUAGAUACCCGAGUAGUC